UAAUUGUUGUCCAUGUAAACGCAGCUAUUCACUGAUGCUCAAGAAGGUAACAAUGCAUUAAGAGCCUGGCUGUAAACUUUUUAACAGGAUGAUUGUGUAAAUUGUUUUGUCUUCUGGGAUACAUGUAUAUCUUAUUUAGCUUCUGAAUGGCUGUAAUAAAUGAAAAAAAUAAGAUCUUUAAACAAACUAAUAACAAUUUACACUGAUCAUCCUAUUAAAAUGUUUACACCCCCCUGGCUCUUAAUGUAUUUUCUUACCCUGAUUAGUUUCUAAUGACUGGUUAGUUUCUUGGUGUAAUGAACAGAAUCUGCUGUUUGUUAAUAACUGGAACCUGUUCUGGGAGCAUCCUAGGUUGUUUUGUCCUGAUGGCCUGCACCCCAGCAGCCUCAGAGUGGAACUGCUGUCAGACAACAUCUCCAAGGCGCUACACACCAAGUGACUGCCUACCUCGCGACGGGCAGAGAGCCAGCGUACACAAGAAGGAAAUCGCUCGUUCUCCAACUGCCACACCGGCACGACGUGGGCAGCUUUGUGCCGAAUAUUCCGCCAACCGGAAGGACCGCCGCGGCAGGGCGGGACUGACGCGACACCGGCCAGUGAUUGGCGGACCCAACGGAGAAAUUCCACCACUCAGGCGACGGCGGAGGAGGAUAAAAGGGCGCGCUUCCGGCCGUAUGAGAGAGGAGAAUAUCGUAGCGACAAGACGGACUCCGUGCAAGCGCGGACAAGAUCGCCGGGUGGUGAGAGUCCCACCUACGAUGGACGCCGGCCCGGGAAAACCCUCGCCCCCGUCUCAGGAAUCCCGCCUCCGCCACGAGUAGGCUACACCGGCAGUCACGCCUCCACAAGCCCCGCACUCAUCCCCUCACAACCCACUCACCUCACCCUUGCACCAAUAAAUCACCGUUUGUGAAC
Molecule: long non-coding RNA, 915 nt
Organism: Ictalurus punctatus (channel catfish)
Lineage: Eukaryota; Metazoa; Chordata; Actinopteri; Siluriformes; Ictaluridae
Source: Ensembl